UACGUAGGGAGCAAGCGUUGUUCGGAAUUACUGGGCGUAAAGGGCGCGUAGGCGGCCGAUCAAGUCAGGCGUGAAAUUCCCGGGCUCAACCUGGGGGCUGCGCUUGAUACUGAUUGGCUUGAAUGCGGGAGAGGAUAGUGGAAUUCCCAGUGUAGAGGUGAAAUUCGUAGAUAUUGGGAAGAACACCGGUGGCGAAGGCGGCUAUCUGGCCCGUAAUUGACGCUGAGGCGCGAAAGCAUGGGGAGCGAACGGG
This 253-nucleotide ribosomal RNA is filed under the name uncultured bacterium. RNAcentral describes it as "partial 16S ribosomal RNA". It matches the Rfam family "Bacterial small subunit ribosomal RNA", at positions 524 to 776 of the family's 1533-position model. The record is from RNAcentral.